RNAcentral lists this ribosomal RNA (433 nucleotides) under uncultured bacterium. RNAcentral describes it as "partial 16S ribosomal RNA". It matches the Rfam family "Bacterial small subunit ribosomal RNA", at positions 29 to 507 of the family's 1533-position model. The record is from RNAcentral.
AGCGAACGCUGGCGGCAGGCCUAACACAUGCAAGUCGAACGAACUCUUCGGAGUUAGUGGCGGACGGGUGAGUAACACGUGGGAACGUGCCUUUUGGUUCGGAAUAACUCAGGGAAACUUGUGCUAAUACCGAAUGUGCCCUUCGGGGGAAAGAUUUAUCGCCAUUAGAGCGGCCCGCGUCUGAUUAGCUAGUUGGUGAGGUAACGGCUCACCAAGGCGACGAUCAGUAGCUGGUCUGAGAGGAUGACCAGCCACACUGGGACUGAGACACGGCCCAGACUCCUACGGGAGGCAGCAGUGGGGAAUCUUGCGCAAUGGGUGAAAGCCUGACGCAGCCAUGCCGCGUGAAUGAUGAAGGUCUUAGGAUUGUAAAAUUCUUUCACCGGGGACGAUAAUGACGGUACCCGGAGAAGAAGCCCCGGCUAACUUCGUG